This 915-nucleotide ribosomal RNA is filed under the name uncultured archaeon. RNAcentral's name for it is "bacterial SSU rRNA". It matches the Rfam family "Archaeal small subunit ribosomal RNA", at positions 1 to 923 of the family's 1478-position model. The record is from RNAcentral.
UUCCGGUUGAUCCUGCCGCCGGCUACUGCUAUCAGGUUUCGACUAAGCCAUGCGAGUCAAGGGGUCGUAAGACACCGGCGUACUGCUCAGUAACACGCGGACAAUCUACCCCCAGGUGGAGGAUAACCUCGGGAAACUGAGGCUAAUACCCCAUAGUUGUCAUGUGCUGGAAUGCUUUGACGAUGAAAGAAUUUCGCCUGAGGAUGAGUCUGCGGCCUAUCAGGUAGUAUGUGGUGUAAAGGACCACAUAGCCUAAGACGGGUACGGGCCUUGAAAGAGGGAGCCCGGAGAUGGACUCUGAGACAUCAGUCCAGGCCCUACGGGGCGCAGCAGGCGCGAACACUGUGCAAUGCGCGAAAGCGCGACACGGGGAGCUUGAGUGUCUUGGCAUAGCCAAGACUUUUCUCAUUCCUAAAAAGCAUGAGGAAUAAGUGCUGGGUAAGACGGGUGCCAGCCGCCGCGGUAACACCCGCAGCACAAGUGGUGGUCACUUUUAUUGAGCCUAAAGCGUUCGUAGCCGGUUUUGUAAAUCUUUAGAUAAAGCCUGAAGCUUAACUCCAGAAAGUCUGAAGAGACUGCAAGACUUGAGAUCGGGUGAGGUUAAACGUACUUUCAGGGUAGGGGUAAAAUCCUGUAAUCCCGGAAGGACGACCAGUGGCGAAAGCGUUUAACUAGAACGAAUCUGACGGUAAGGAACGAAGGCUAGGGUAGCAAACCGGAUUAGAUACCCGGGUAGUCCUAGCUGUAAACACUGCCCAUUUGAUGUUGCUUUUCCGUUGAGGGAAGGCAGUGUCGGAGCGAAGGUGUUAAGUGGGCCGCUUGGGGAGUAUGGUCGCAAGGCUGAAACUUAAAGGAAUUGGCGGGGGAGCACCGCAACGGGAGGAGCGUGCGGUUUAAUUGGAUUCAACGCCGGAA